This 301-nucleotide ribosomal RNA is filed under the name uncultured bacterium. RNAcentral describes it as "partial 16S ribosomal RNA". It matches the Rfam family "Bacterial small subunit ribosomal RNA", at positions 509 to 807 of the family's 1533-position model. The record is from RNAcentral.
CAGCAGCCGCGGUAAUACGGAGGGUGCAAGCGUUAAUCGGAAUUACUGGGCGUAAAGCGUGCGUAGGCGGUUCGUUAAGUCUGUUGUGAAAGCCCCGGGCUCAACCUGGGAAUGGCAAUGGAUACUGGCGAGCUAGAGUGUGUCAGAGGAUGGUGGAAUUCCCGGUGUAGCGGUGAAAUGCGUAGAGAUCGGGAGGAACAUCAGUGGCGAAGGCGGCCAUCUGGGACAACACUGACGCUGAGGCACGAAAGCGUGGGGAGCAAACAGGAUUAGAUACCCCUGUAGUCCCUGUCUCGUAUAC